Molecule: long non-coding RNA, 217 nt
Filed under: Mytilus galloprovincialis (Mediterranean mussel)
Lineage: Eukaryota; Metazoa; Mollusca; Bivalvia; Mytilida; Mytilidae
Source: RNAcentral
GUUUUAUAGAUAAUAUUAAAAUAUUUGCUUCUGGUUUCUUUUUUACAUAUUUGUAUAAAUGCUUAGUUUGCAGAGUAUGAAAAUUGUAAGACAAAAUCAAUGGAUAGUAGAUGUUUCAGUUUGCACCUAUCAAUUUAUCUUUGCAAAACAAGAACUGUUUGUACCUGGAUAACAAUUAUUCUGAUUUUGUUAAGAAAUAGCCAAGACUUGUCACCCA